This 797-nucleotide long non-coding RNA is filed under the name Mustela putorius furo (domestic ferret). Its description in RNAcentral is "lncRNA (ENSMPUG00000030514.1)". Lineage: Eukaryota; Metazoa; Chordata; Mammalia; Carnivora; Mustelidae. The record is from RNAcentral.
GGGCCUCCUGGGGGCGGCCCCGGCUCCUCUGGGAACAGACUGUCUGUUUGCUGAGAUACCAUCGCAUUCCUGCAGCCUCAGCCACCCCAGGAUGGAUGGGGGUGGGGGGGGCGGUGUGCAAGGGGAGGGGAGGAGGAAAUAGGACAGCUGCUGGCCCUCUGUUCCCCUGGGGCCCUCACUGAGAAGGCUGCCGCCCUGGGUCCUCCAGGGGGGUCUAUGGUUUUCUGGCCUGCUUGUUGAGUACUUUGGAAAGCUCCUUAUUAGCCAACGUGGGUACCCCACUCUACAGUUUACAGAGCGUUUUCUCAACAAUGACCUAUUUUGCUCUUCCAGAUAACCUUCUGUGUAGGUAGUCUGGGGUGCUGAAUUUCCACAGAGGAGAGCUGCCUAGCCAACAGCGAGUAUGGCCAUCGUUGGAGCAGGAGCCCUUGAAUGAGCCCCAGCUGACCAGUUCCAGCCACUGGGAAUGCUUACCGUAUGGCGGUGACUGUCAAAAGCACGUUAGAUGCAUUAGCUUGCUUAUUCUUCACCAACAGCCCUUGGGAGAAGGAAGAGGGAGAGAGAGAACUCAUGCCAGAGUGAGGAGGAGAAAGACCCACCAGCCAUUCUUGGUGCUGAAGGUGGGUGAAGAGGACAUGAGCCAAGACCUGCAGGCUGCCUCUAGAAUCUGGAAAAGCUCCCUUGAGCCCCUGGAAAGGUUUACAGUCCUGCCGAUGUUCUGAUUUUAAACCAGUAACACUCAUUUUGGACUUCAGACUUCCUGAACUGUAGGCAAUAAAAUCUGAGUUGCUUGAAGC